GCCGACUUAGGCUCAAUUGGUAGAGCAACUGAUUUGUAAUCAGUAGGUUGGGGGUUCAAGUCCUCUAGUCGGCACCA
Molecule: transfer RNA, 77 nt
Filed under: Erysipelothrix sp. Poltava
Lineage: Bacteria; Bacillati; Bacillota; Erysipelotrichia; Erysipelotrichales; Erysipelotrichaceae
Description: tRNA-Thr
Rfam family: tRNA
About the family: Transfer RNA (tRNA) molecules are approximately 80 nucleotides in length. Their secondary structure includes four short double-helical elements and three loops (D, anti-codon, and T loops).
Source: RNAcentral